Non-coding RNA from Plectropomus leopardus (leopard coralgrouper), 303 nucleotides. NCBI's taxonomy places the organism in Eukaryota, Metazoa, Chordata, Actinopteri, Perciformes, Serranidae. The record is from RefSeq and is a predicted model, not a curated record.
GAGGGAGCUACCUACGCGGAAAGGAGAGAACAAAUCCCCGGCUGGUUGGCGUGAGAGCAGCGCUCCUCAUCGACGUCACUAAACCCAGAUUCUGCAGAAAGAUGAAGUGCAGUGUGAGGACAAGUGUGAAAGGUGGAGAAAGGGGCUGACAUGCGGAAAAGGGCAGCAGACUGGACUCGAACCCGCGGCUGAUGCAGCACAGCGAGCAGAUGUACAUGGGCCGUCCGCUUUACCAGAUGAACAGAGCCACGAGUGUCUGACAGACUGCACGGUUUACAGCCGAGGCGAGCUCCAGCAACAUGA